GUGGGGAAUAUUGGACAAUGGGCGAAAGCCUGAUCCAGCCAUGCCGCGUGUGUGAAGAAGGUCUUCGGAUUGUAAAGCACUUUAAGUUGGGAGGAAGGGCAGUAAGUUAAUACCUUGCUGUUUUGACGUUACCGACAGAAUAAGCACCGGCUAACUUCGUGCCAGCAGCCGCGGUAAUACGAAGGGUGCAAGCGUUAAUCGGAAUCACUGGGCGUAAAGCGUGCGUAGGCGGUUUUGUAAGUUGGAGGUGAAAUCCCCGGGCUCAACCUGGGAACUGCCUCCAAAACUGCAUGACUAGAGUACGGUAGAGGGUAGUGGAAUUUCCUGUGUAGCGGUGAAAUGCGUAGAUAUAGGAAGGAACACCAGUGGCGAAGGCGACUACCUGGACUGAUACUGACACUGAGGUGCGAAAGCGUGGGGAGCAAACAGGAUUAGAAACCCUGGUAGUCC
Molecule: ribosomal RNA, 450 nt
Filed under: uncultured bacterium
Lineage: Bacteria
Description: bacterial SSU rRNA
Rfam family: Bacterial small subunit ribosomal RNA
Source: RNAcentral